CCUUAUUCUAUUUGUUUAACUAUCUAGAUUUUCAAGCUAGCCAGGGACACUAUUUUGUUAUGAGUUAUUUUAUUGGUGCUGCUAUUGGUACAGGCAAUUUAUUCAACCUGUCAACUACCAGAUAUAAAAAGAAUGGAUUUGGCUGCUUGUGUGUUUACUUCUCUUUCCAGCAUAACUACAAAUUUGUUCUCUAGAGACACUGAUCAAACUAAAAAUGACACAGACAAACAAACUACAGUGUCAAAAAAACUGUUAUUGUUAAUACAGCCUCAGAUCAUUCAUACCAAUGAUCACAGGCAUUCCAGCUAUGACGAUCUUAUCUUUUUGUAUAUAAGAGUCUACUCCAAUAUUUACUUUCUUUAAGAUGUUAGGAUGUAAGUAGAGGUAUAUUUAGCUAUUUCUAGUAGGUUGAGAAAUAAAGGAAGACUAGCUCAUCAGGUUAUAAAAAAAUUAUAGAACAUUUUAUCACUUCAUAAAUUUGCACAUCAUCUUUACAAUUUGGUGUUUAAUACACACACAAGAUACUUCUCAACUCCAGUUAAACUGAUCUUUUUUAUUUAUCACAAAAGGAUCAAACGAUUAAUUUAAUUAUGGCAAGAUUUGAACUUAUUACCAACACAUAUCAUUUCUGGGCCUACUACUUCUAUACCAACUCAAUUAGUUAAACUGACAGUUGUAUCUUAUUCCUUUCUAUGAUUGUUCCUUCUGUUAUUAUCAUAGUAUAUUCAACUUGCUGCUUCUAAAUGAUUUAAAUACUUCUAAACAUCUUGUGUACAUGGACCAACAGGCACAGGAUAAAACUGUGUUACUAGUUCUCUGCAGUAUUGUUAUUGUUUAGCCUCAGCUUAGCUCUCAUUGAGCAGUCCCAUGAUCAAAGGCAUUUUAACUGUAACCAUCCCAUUUCUUUUUUACUGAUAUUAGAACAUCUAAGACAACACCACUGAAUGUGUCCUUUUACUUUUUCAAAAUAGUGCUGGUGCAAGAAAAGAAAAACAUGCAGUACACUCUUGUAAAAUGGUUGGUGCUAA
Molecule: long non-coding RNA, 1028 nt
Organism: Octopus sinensis (East Asian common octopus)
Lineage: Eukaryota; Metazoa; Mollusca; Cephalopoda; Octopoda; Octopodidae
Exons: 3
Source: RefSeq, a predicted model, not a curated record